ACGAAGGCAGCAGUGGGGAAUAUUGCACAAUGGGGGAAACCCUGAUGCAGCGACGCCGCGUGAGUGAAGAAGUAUUUCGGUAUGUAAAGCUCUAUCAGCAGGGAAGAAAAUGACGGUACCUGACUAAGAAGCCCCGGCUAACUACGUGCCAGCAGCCGCGGUAAUACGUAGGGGGCAAGCGUUAUCCGGAUUUACUGGGUGUAAAGGGAGCGUAGACGGUAUGGCAAGUCUGAAGUGAAAUGCCAGGGCUUAACCCUGGAACUGCUUUGGAAACUGUCGUACUAGAGUGCAGGAGAGGUAAGUGGAAUUCCUAGUGUAGCGGUGAAAUGCGUAGAUAUUAGGAGGAACACCAGUGGCGAAGGCGGCUUACUGGACUGUAACUGACGUUGAGGCUCGAAAGCGUGGGGAGCAAACAGGAUUAGAUACCCUGGUA
RNAcentral lists this ribosomal RNA (433 nucleotides) under uncultured Lachnospiraceae bacterium. RNAcentral's name for it is "partial 16S ribosomal RNA". It matches the Rfam family "Bacterial small subunit ribosomal RNA", at positions 341 to 792 of the family's 1533-position model. Lineage: Bacteria; Bacillati; Bacillota; Clostridia; Lachnospirales; Lachnospiraceae. The record is from RNAcentral.